This is a long non-coding RNA of Rosa rugosa (rugosa rose), 507 nucleotides long. RefSeq lists it as uncharacterized. The transcript has 3 exons. NCBI's taxonomy places the organism in Eukaryota, Viridiplantae, Streptophyta, Magnoliopsida, Rosales, Rosaceae. The record is from RefSeq and is a predicted model, not a curated record.
UCCUAAAAAUACCAUUAGAUGUCAUCAUUGUGCCGGUCCUCUUUCUAAGGAGAUGGAAACUAGUGCAUGGACAGUCCCACCUCUUAUCAGGGAUAGCUUCUCUAUGAUUGGCUCUGCUGUUGGUGGUACAGUAAGUGCUUUUUAUGGAUUCAAUUAUGUGAUGCCUAUUGUUCAGAGACGGGUAAAAGGACCUAUGUGGUUACAUUUUUUCAUUGUUGUAAGUUUUGCAUUACGUUUACUAUUGUAGGAAUGUCCUUUACAUAUGAAAAUGUUCUUUAAAAAAAAUAUCAAAAUGGGAAAUUGUAACUUUAGAUUAUGUUAUCCAGUUAAUCUUAUAUCUAUUGAACAUGUAAAUUUGUAAAUUUGAAUGUCAAGGAGAAACAUAUGACAUGUCUGGUUUAAGCUUAGAACUAUACAUUGAGGAUUGAAGUUAGUCAAGUAUUGAACAAAAAAAUAAUAAUGUAACUUGAAGGUACUGAAGUUUAUAGGUUGUUAUAUCUGGUACAA